CGCUAGCUACAGGCUUAACACAUGCAAGUCGAGGGGCAGCAUAGCGGAAGCUUGCUUCUGCUGAUGGCGACCGGCGCACGGGUGAGUAACGCGUAUCCAACCUUCCCUACAGUAGGGGAUAGCCCGGCGAAAGUCGGAUUAAUACCCUAUGUUCUUCUCGAUGACAUCUGAGGAGAAGCAAAGGUUCACCGCUAUAGGAUGGGGAUGCGUCUGAUUAGCUUGUUGGCGGGUAACGGCCCACCAAGGCUACGAUCAGUAGGGGUUCUGAGAGGAAGGUCCCCCACAUUGGUACUGAGACACGGACCAAACUCCUACGGGAGGCAGCAGUGAGGAAUAUUGGUCAAUGGGCGAGAGCCUGAACCAGCCAAGUAGCGUGCAGGAAUGACUGCCCUAUGGGUUGUAGACUGCUUUUAUGCGGGAAUAAAGUCGGGCACGUGUGCCUGUUUGUAUGUACCGCAUGAAUAAGGACCGGCUAAUUCCGUGCCAGCCGCGGC
This 494-nucleotide ribosomal RNA is filed under the name uncultured bacterium. RNAcentral's name for it is "bacterial SSU rRNA". It matches the Rfam family "Bacterial small subunit ribosomal RNA", at positions 34 to 518 of the family's 1533-position model. The record is from RNAcentral.